GCACCGAUACCGAUUGGUUGAUCGGAGUCGGCGAGUUUUUUGAUAGCGACCUAGGCCACGUCGUUUCAAGCCAAUCGCUGCAUGGCAAGCUGAUCGAAAAGNUUGGAAUAGCGAUACGGGCCGCUUUCGUAAAGACGUAGACGAUGCUCUGAAAGGGAACCCUUCCGAAGUCACGGAACGCUCAAUCAAGCCAAACAAGAAAUACG
Molecule: unclassified non-coding RNA, 206 nt
Filed under: Hevea brasiliensis (rubber tree)
Lineage: Eukaryota; Viridiplantae; Streptophyta; Magnoliopsida; Malpighiales; Euphorbiaceae
Source: RNAcentral